AUGCACGCUGGCGGCGUGCCUCAUACAUGCCAGUCGAGCGAACAGACGAGGAGCUUGCUCCUUUGACGUUAGCGGCGGACGGGUGAGUAACACGUGGGUAACCUACCUAUAAGACUGGGAUAACUUCGGGAAACCGGAGCUAAUACCGGAUAAUAUUUCGAACCGCAUGGUUCGAUAGUGAAAGAUGGCUUUGCUAUCACUUAUAGAUGGACCUGCGCCGUAUUAGCUAGUUGGUAAGGUAACGGCUUACCAAGGCAACGAUACGUAGCCGACCUGAGAGGGUGAUCGGCCACACUGGAACUGAGACACGGUCCAGACUCCUACGGGAGGCAGCAGUAGGGAAUCUUCCGCAAUGGGCGAAAGCCUGACGGAGCAACGCCGCGUGAGUGAUGAAGGUCUUCGGAUCGUAAAACUCUGUUAUUAGGGAAGAACAAACGUGUAAGUAACUGUGCACGUCUUGACGGUACCUAAUCAGAAAGCCACGGCUAACUACGUG
RNAcentral lists this ribosomal RNA (496 nucleotides) under uncultured bacterium. RNAcentral's name for it is "partial 16S ribosomal RNA". It matches the Rfam family "Bacterial small subunit ribosomal RNA", at positions 29 to 507 of the family's 1533-position model. The record is from RNAcentral.